RNAcentral lists this ribosomal RNA (253 nucleotides) under uncultured bacterium. RNAcentral describes it as "partial 16S ribosomal RNA". It matches the Rfam family "Bacterial small subunit ribosomal RNA", at positions 524 to 776 of the family's 1533-position model. The record is from RNAcentral.
UACGGAGGGGGCUAGCGUUGUUCGGAAUUACUGGGCGUAAAGGGCGUGUAGGCGGUCCGCUAAGUCUGAUGUGAAAGCCCGGGGCUCACCCCCGGAAGGGCAUUGGAAACUGACGGACUCGAGUCCCGAAGAGGAGGGUGGAAUUCCUGGUGUAGCGGUGAAAUGCGUAGAUAUCAGGAGGAACACCGGUGGCGAAGGCGGCCCUCUGGACGGUGACUGACGCUGAGACGCGAAAGCGUGGGGAGCAAACAGG